RNAcentral lists this transfer RNA (64 nucleotides) under Lilioceris yunnana. Its description in RNAcentral is "tRNA-Gly". Lineage: Eukaryota; Metazoa; Arthropoda; Insecta; Coleoptera; Chrysomelidae. The record is from RNAcentral.
AUUUACAUAGUAUAAAAAAUACAUUUGACUUCCAAUCAAAAAUUCUAUUAAAAUAGUUUAAAUA